UUCACGUACAGCUUUGCUCUACCUUCAUUUCCAUACGUUGUCUUGGCGUGGUGGUUAGGAAGAAGAAAAUUUCUAGCUUUGCCUUCUUAAGACUUGGAGUUUAAACAUCAGUGUGCGCGCGCCCGCGCUCGUGUGCAUGACUAUCGGAUUGUACCGUAACUCAGGCGGUUAGUCGCCGACUACUCGCUGUGGAGGACCGGGUUCGCACCAGUUCAGUUGAUGUGGGAUUCUUUGUGGACAAAGUACCAGCGACACAGUUUUCUCUUCGAGUCCUUUGGUUUACCUGUCAAUAUAAUUCUGAUGCUGCGCUGCAUUCAUCCAUGUACCAUGUGGGAGAUGACCGAACUCUACAGAGACGUAAUCUCAUCCCAUUGCAACAAUAAAAUUGGAUAUUGUAAAAUUCCUCACUUCGUUCAGGGACACCGGCUCUCAUAGGGCUUGAAGCGGUCAAGGCUCGAAGUGAGUGUCUGUCUUCAGGCCACGUGCGCAGCAGAUAACAGUUUCCAACGAAGGUGAUCAAGUUAGCUGAGGACGAGGGCCAAGAACUCUCAGUGUUCAUUUUCGGUCGGACAUAGGAAAACAAAUAUUAUUGUGGUGCCGGGUUUUACUAUAAUUUACUUGAGCAAUAAAAUUAAACCCGUGAAACAUUUAUGUGAUUAAAGCAGAGACGUCAGUGCCAAAAUCGAGCUCGUGAAACUUCUCCGGUUCUGUCUUCUGAGUUGAUGCGCCGAGUAGUCUGGUAGAAGUCUGCCGACAUUCAGAGGUCAUUAGGGCGCCUGGCAGAAGUUUAAGUUCACCGACGCUAGUAAACUAUCAAACUACACAGCCCAGAAAGUAACUAUCUUCAUACUCGACGCCAUAAGAACCCGAAAUCUCACUUUCCAUUAUCAUGUUUUGCUCUGUCCUGCGCAGUGAACCAAAACUUACACGAGUAAGUUUUAACGUAAACUGCGCAGAUAAAUUUUUAGUUCCUAACAUAUUUCUUUCCCCCUCCCUUCUUGCAGACAAGAUGCGUGUGUCGUUACGUCACCAAACUUACAUAUUUCACAUAGUUGCAAUGUCGUAAUUUCUCUUUGCUUAAAAAAAUUAGUACUAAUGAAUGCUUAAAAUGUUAACAUGUUACAUGGUGAAUGGCGUUAUUGUCACUUCCAAUUCUAACCCUGGCACCGUUAAAAAGAUUUACU
This is a non-coding RNA of Zootermopsis nevadensis, 1184 nucleotides long. The record is from RefSeq and is a predicted model, not a curated record. Lineage: Eukaryota; Metazoa; Arthropoda; Insecta; Blattodea; Termopsidae.